UCGGCCCCGGUUCACGUGAUGCCCAUUCGGGCGUACGACCCGGCGCC
This is a regulatory RNA element of 47 nucleotides. It matches the Rfam family "L31-Actinobacteria ribosomal protein leader". The record is from Rfam.